AACUUUCAGCAACGGAUCUCUUGGCUCUCGCAUCGAUGAAGAACGCAGCGAAAUGCGAUAAGUAAUGUGAGUUGCAGAAUUCAGUGAAUCAUCGAAUCUUUGAACGCACCUUGCGCUCUUUGGUAUUCCGAAGAGCAUGCCUGUUUGAGUGUCAUUA
Molecule: ribosomal RNA, 157 nt
Filed under: uncultured Cortinarius
Lineage: Eukaryota; Fungi; Basidiomycota; Agaricomycetes; Agaricales; Cortinariaceae
Description: 5.8S ribosomal RNA
Rfam family: 5.8S ribosomal RNA
About the family: 5.8S ribosomal RNA (5.8S rRNA) is a component of the large subunit of the eukaryotic ribosome. It is transcribed by RNA polymerase I as part of the 45S precursor that also contains 18S and 28S rRNA.
Source: RNAcentral